UAUAAGAGACAGCAGCCGCCGCGGGAAUACAGAGGGUGCGAGCGUUAAUCGGAUUUACUGGGCGUAAAGCGUGCGUAGGCGGCUUUUUAAGUCGGAUGUGAAAUCCCUGAGCUUAACUUAGGAAUUGCAUUCGAUACUGGGAAGCUAGAGUAUGGGAGAGGAUGGUAGAAUUCCAGGUGUAGCGGUGAAAUGCGUAGAGAUCUGGAGGAAUACCGAUGGCGAAGGCAGCCAUCUGGCCUAAUACUGACGCUGAGGUACGAAAGCAUGGGGAGCAAACAGGAUUAGAUACCCCGCGUAGUCCCUGUCUCUUAUA
Molecule: ribosomal RNA, 313 nt
Filed under: uncultured bacterium
Lineage: Bacteria
Description: partial 16S ribosomal RNA
Rfam family: Bacterial small subunit ribosomal RNA
Source: RNAcentral